Oreochromis niloticus (Nile tilapia) is the source of this 1419-nucleotide long non-coding RNA. RefSeq lists it as uncharacterized. NCBI's taxonomy places the organism in Eukaryota, Metazoa, Chordata, Actinopteri, Cichliformes, Cichlidae. The transcript has 4 exons. The record is from RefSeq and is a predicted model, not a curated record.
CAUGUUGGCAUAUGAUAAUUAAUCAUAAUUAUGAGUCUGUAUGUGUAUAUUUUGUUAGCAUACCUUUUUAUGCCCUUUUAAACGGUGACUUUCGUACUGAAUGGCAGGUUACAUCCAAAUGUAAUUUUACAUCUUACUCUGUUUUUACUCUGCAUUACGCUGCCAAAGCCAACAGAAAGACACUAUUCCCAGACAGAGAACCCAGUAUUUGAACAGGGACUCAAACCAGCAACUUGAAGGUUACUAGUUGGCUGCUCUGACCUGUUCAAGUUGCCCAUCUAUUAUUUCUAACACAGGAUGCAAGAAAUCCACCCUGAACAUUCCUGUUGCCACGAGGAGAUUAACAGAGACUUCUAAAUACACUUACACUAGCCUUCCAACCAGUCACUGCACCUGUAAAAGAAAAAUACUUACCAGUUACUCACCUGCCUGUCUACUCUCCACCAACUCUCUCUGCCCAUCUGAAAUCUCAUAUGCCUGCAGAAUGCAAGACCUGAGAAGACCAAAUGGAGGGGAAAAAAAGAUCCUGCUGAGCAACUGUUUAAAUACAGUCACCUACAGGUGCCUAAUUAAAGUGAUCUAGGCCAUGUCCAGUGAGAUCUAGGUCAUCUCCAGCAAAGCAGGGCAAGAAGACUUCUUGUCACUUAACUAGUAAAAAAAACCCAUUUUGGCCAUUUCAAGCAACACAUUAAACUGCAAAAACUGUUAUUUUUUUUAGCAAAGAAAUUGAUGAAUGUGUCUACAAACUGUAAUUUAAAGUUUUCUUGUUUACUUGUGCUUCCUGAUCAAUUUAACUUCAGAAUUUUAGUACUUCAAAGAGUUUCAUUGUAUCCACUAACUGAUUCUGGCAUGUCUGAGCCUUGCUGUGUUACAGAGCUUUUUCUUUGAGAAAAUUUACCUGAUUAUCAAUAGGAGUAUAGAGAGUAAACCAAGUGAACCAAAACUUCAGUGUUAUGAAACCAAUGUAAUUAAUUAUAGAAUUAUAAAUGUUACAUAAAGCUCACUCAGGUAAUAAUUCUCAGUGGGAUUCACUUGGUUCUUCAAGUGACAGCUUUGAGGUAUGACCAGGAUAAAAAUGAGAACAAACCUUGAAUUUUAGUCAGAAAUGCCAAAUAUUUGUUCAACUUUGAGAAGGUAUAUUACAAUCUAACUUAUUGUACUUUGUAUAUAGUAAAUUAUAUAGUCAGAGAAUAACCUGCACCUUGGCUUCAAGGGUGUGUGAGAUGAAAAAAGUUUAUAUGAGCUAUAUUUGAAUUAUCUGUAUCAUUUUAGGGUGUUUACUUUAUAAUAUAAAGCACCUUCAGGGGACUGUUGUUGUGAUUUGGUGGUAUAUAAAUAAAAUGUAACUGAAUUUUAACAGUUAAAAACAUGUUUGGGUAAGAGAACUUGUAUUGCACUUUUGCUGAAGGCUCUGGCAAU